GAUGAACGCUGGCGGCGUGCCUAAUACAUGCAAGUCGAGCGAACGGACGAGAAGCUUGCUUCUCUGAUGUUAGCGGCGGACGGGUGAGUAACACGUGGAUAACCUACCUAUAAGACUGGGAUAACUUCGGGAAACCGGAGCUAAUACCGGAUAAUAUUUUGAACCGCAUGGUUCAAAAGUGAAAGACGGUCUUGCUGUCACUUAUAGAUGUAUCCGCGCUGCAUUAGCUAGUUGGUAUGGUAACGGCUUACCAAGGCAACUAUGCAUAGCCGACCUGAGAGGGGGAUCGGCCACACGGGAACUGAGACACGGUCCAGACUCCUACGGGAGGCAGCAGUAGGGAAUGUGCCGCAAUGGGCGAAAGCCUGACGGAGCAACGCCGCGUGAGUGAUGAAGGUCUUCGGAGCGUAAAACUCUGUUAUUAGGGAAGAACAUAUGUGUAAGUAACUGUGGACAUCGUGACGGUACCUAAUCAGAAAGCAACGGCUAACUACGUG
Molecule: ribosomal RNA, 497 nt
Filed under: uncultured bacterium
Lineage: Bacteria
Description: partial 16S ribosomal RNA
Rfam family: Bacterial small subunit ribosomal RNA
Source: RNAcentral